Molecule: ribosomal RNA, 253 nt
Filed under: uncultured bacterium
Lineage: Bacteria
Description: partial 16S ribosomal RNA
Rfam family: Bacterial small subunit ribosomal RNA
Source: RNAcentral
UACAGAGGUCUCAAGCGUUGUUCGGAUUCAUUGGGCGUAAAGGGUGCGUAGGCGGCGCGGUAAGUCGGGUGUGAAAUCUUGGAGCUUAACUCCGAAACUGCAUUCGAUACUGCCGUGCUUGAGGACUGGAGAGGAGACUGGAAUUUACGGUGUAGCGGUGAAAUGCGUAGAUAUCGCAAGGAAGACCAGUGGCGAAGGCGGGUCUCUGGACAGUUCCUGACGCUGAGGCACGAAGGUCAGGGGAGCAAACGGG